AUUUCUGGGAGAGUAGCGUGUUCACAUGACAGUGGUUGUGCCCCAGAAUCUCCUUCCAUGCUGGUAACAACUGGGAGAUGAAGGUGUUGAAGGUGAUGAGAAGAAAGUCCCGACUAUGCGUGGACUGGAAGUCUGACUCUGCGAGUGUGAGGAGAUGCCAGAGCCCGGGCAGUGCUGCUGGAGCCCCAAGGAUGCAGGAGACCAGGUACUGUGCUCACACCCCAGGGGACCCCCUCCCCACGCUCAUCCACAGCUUCCUUUCCUGGUGGAGUAGAAAGCAGGAAUCGAUGGACCCCAAGAAUGGCAGAGGGGACAAGAGGGCAGCCUCGUUAUAAGUGGUGGGUACAGAAGGGGGUACCGGCCAUAGGACUCAGCGCCAACCAGCUGUGGCCACCACCGGCUCAGCUCCACACACGGCCCCACCCCUCCCCGCUUCCCCAGCCUCCAAGACAGGUUCGUCUACAGAUGGUCUCACCUCCUCCCCCACUCCAGUGACCAGUGGAAGAAGGAAGGCAGGCCACAGCCAUGUCAGUGACAGAAAGCCACCUGACAAAGGAGGAGGACAGAGCGUCAGCGUGAGAGUCAGGGCUCCGGAAAGCAUGUGCCAUCAGAGGAGCAGUGGGUCAUAGGACAACACAAUACAAGACAGAGGCCGUCCUGGGAUGUUCCCCAAAGGUAUGUCCUUCCAGGAACCUCAGAAUGUGAACUUAAUGGAAAUGGAGUCACCGUGGAUACAAUUGUUGACAUUAAGCUGAGCUCAUACUGGACAAAGGUGGGCCUUGGGUCCCAUAGGACUGAUGUCCUUGCAGGGAGAGGAGGGAGACCCAGGCCGCAGGAACUGGCAGGUGUAAUACACCAGGGGUACGGAGGAAGGCUGGAAGACGCAAGGAAGGGGCCUCCCCUGGGGACCUAGAAGGGACGCUGGUCCUGCCAGCACCCCCAUUUUGGACACCUAGCCUUCUGAACAUUAAGACCACACAGUUCUGGUGCUUUCACCGCUGUCCCAGGGCACGGAUACAGGGGACACCAAGUCUCUCUAUUGGUUCCAGAAAGGUGCUGGGAGAGCUGGCAACCCUCUGACUAUUUUUGGCUGCUAAACUGUAUUUCUUUGUAUGUGAAGCCGAGCAAGCCUGAGCCAUGUGGGGCCCUGGCUUAUAUUUGGAUUAAAAUGUGAUGGAGCUAAUGUCUAUUUCACAGGAUCAUUGUGAGGACUACAUGACACAGUCUGGGUAGCAUAUGUCAGGGUGCCUGGCACACAGGACAAUUACCAGCAGCAUGCCAUAGGUUUUCUAUUGAUUAUUGGCAGAAAAUAGGCGAAUGUAAAAUAUAAAGUAUUUGUUACAUUUCUCUCUCUUUUUAUUCUAACGUUUCUGACAAGUCUUUGACAAAACACAAGUGAGUAAAAAUUUUAUUUAAAGGUCUAUUUGAUGGGGCACCUGGGUGGCUCAGUCUGCUGAGCAUCUGACUCUUGGUUUCAGCUCAGGUCAUGAUCUCAGGGUCGUGAGACCGAGUCUUACGUUGGGCUCUACGCUUAGAGCGGAGUCUGCUUGAGAUUAUCUCUCUCCCUGCCCUUCCCCUCUGCUUACAUUCUCAAUCUCUCUCAAAUAAAUAAAUGAAUCUUAAAAAAAUAAAGAUCUAUUUACCAAUAUUAUAUGAAGACAUAUAAAUAUAACAAAGGUAGCUCUGUUUGCUAGAAAUUUGGAAAAAUUAAGGGAAAGUAUAGCAGAAUUAGUAAAUAGUGGUAACUAGACUCAGAACAAUCCAAACAGCACGGUCAAUAUUUGCUGUCUCAAUCUGAGGCACAUGAUUUCUCUGGAUUUUGGAUGCAUGAAGUUUGGUGGCUCUAAGACAUCCUAAACUGAAAGAUCAUGGGCAUCGAUUAUGAAUUUUGCUAGAGAGUCUCUAUAUAGCAGGGACUUGAAAUGAUCUGAAUUUGGUAACAAUUCUCCUGCUAAUAUGAGCAUGGAUGAGGAGAAAGUUCCCUGAAGCCACACUUCCUCCUCUGUACCUUGGGGUGAUAGCCUCCAAGGCUCCCUUGCCCAGUGGAUGGGGUAAUGGCUGGAAAAUCCAUGGCGUGUGAGCCCCCAGAGCAGCACUGGAGAGAAGUCAGUGGAUAUAAGCAAAGAACACGGUGUCUAGUGGCUCUGCUAAUGGAGAACUCAGAAGAGACAGUGCCUUCGGAGUGUUUUCUGUGCAGACGCUGCUCGUGUGCUCUGGAUUGAACGUGGUGGGUUACAGUGUAGGAAAUCCUCCUCGCCACGGAUGUACUUUGGGGCGCUCUCUGCGAGCAGGAUGACGCUCUUUCCUGAGCCCUGCCUGCUUCCAGAAGGGGUGGACCUGCUGGCAUUACCUCUCCUUGUCGUCCCGAACACCGACCAAGUACCCACUGUGUGCCGGGCUCUGGGCCCCUCGGGGGGAAAGACAGGUGAGCCUCCUGUUCCCUUGGAAACUGUAAUCCUAAUGGAAGGAGAGCCCCAUAAGUAAGUAAAUAAAUAAAUGAACGAACCACUUUUGCUUACUGAUGGAAGUACACCAACAUAAGAGUGUGCUGUGCUGGAUCCCAUGCGUGGGACCAGGGGCGCUGCU
RNAcentral lists this long non-coding RNA (2586 nucleotides) under Canis lupus familiaris (dog). RNAcentral's name for it is "lncRNA (ENSCAFG00030006569.1)". The record is from RNAcentral. Lineage: Eukaryota; Metazoa; Chordata; Mammalia; Carnivora; Canidae.